This 334-nucleotide unclassified non-coding RNA is filed under the name soil metagenome. RNAcentral's name for it is "partial contains 5.8S ribosomal RNA, internal transcribed spacer 2, and large subunit ribosomal RNA". The stretch from base 1 to 120 matches the Rfam family "5.8S ribosomal RNA", at positions 35 to 154 of the family's 154-position model. The record is from RNAcentral.
GAUGAAGAACGUAGCGAAAUGCGAUAAGUAAUGUGAAUUGCAGAAUUCAGUGAAUCAUCGAAUCUUUGAACGCACAUUGCGCCCGCCAGCAUUCUGGCGAGCAUGCCUGUUCGAGCGUCAUUUCAACCAUCAAGCCCCAGGCUUGUGUUGGAGCCCUGCGGCUGCCGCAGCCUCCCAAAACCAGUGGCGGGCUCGCUAUCACACCGAGUGCAGUAGUUUACUCUUCGCUCAGGGCGUGUGGCGGGUGCUAGCCGUGAAACCCCCAACUUCUCAAGGUUGACCUCGGAUCAGGUAGGAAUACCCGCUGAACUUAAGCAUAUCAAUAAGCGGAGGA